This 242-nucleotide ribosomal RNA is filed under the name uncultured bacterium. RNAcentral describes it as "partial small subunit ribosomal RNA". It matches the Rfam family "Bacterial small subunit ribosomal RNA", at positions 26 to 285 of the family's 1533-position model. The record is from RNAcentral.
AGAAUCAACGCUGGCGGCGUGCCUAACACAUGCAAGUCGAACGAGAAAGUGGAGCAAUCCAUGAGUAAAGUGGCGACCGGGUGAGUAACACGUGACUAACCUACCUUCGAGUGGGGGAUAACCUCGGGAAACCGAGGCUAAUACCGCAUAACAUCGCAAGAUCAAAGCAGCAAUGCGCUGGAAGAGGGGUCGCGGCUGAUUAGCUAGUUGGCGGGUAACGCCCACCAAGGCGAAGAUCGGUA